GCCAUAUUUUUACCGCUACUGCA
This 23-nucleotide microRNA is filed under the name Aedes aegypti (yellow fever mosquito). RNAcentral's name for it is "Aae-Mir-2941-P1_5p* (star (passenger))". Lineage: Eukaryota; Metazoa; Arthropoda; Insecta; Diptera; Culicidae. The record is from RNAcentral.